AUAGUUUCAAAUAUAUUACAAAGCAGAAACUAACAAAAGGAAGAAUAAGAAGACAAAACUACCUUUCUGGUGUAAGUAGUUUACCUUCUUCUGUAAUUAAGCAGACAACAUUUGUAAGGAGAGAUAAGAUAUAUUCAUAAAAUAUAUGCUGAAUUUGUAUAUAACAAUACAAUUUGAGAAUAUAUUUUGUUUUAUGUAACAUUUUUGAAAACUGACCAUUACAUAGACCAUAAGAUUUUUUUUCAACUGAGCAGUGCCCAGAGACAUCAUUUGAAACAGAAAAUACUCUUCUGAAUAACUAAUGGGUCAAAGGAAAAAAAAAAAAGUUUAAAAAAAAAACAGAUUUAAACAAAAAAGAAAAUGUUACACACCAAAGGUUGUGAAUCUCUAUAUUAAAGAAGACCGAAAAUUGAUGAGCUGAACUCAGGUUAGAAAGCAAGCUGAUCAAAGAACUCAGUGACCCCACUAGAGACUCUCAAUCACCAACCACAGACUCUGUCACUUGACUCCUAACUCCCAAUAACUCACCUCAGAGAACCCCAUCACUGACAGGAGAGACCUUCGCCACUGACAACCAUAACGGAUGCCCCGCCCCCAUCACUGAACCCCCAAACCAUCACUAGCUCCACCCCACCGCUCACACUGCUGACUACACAGAAUCCUCAAUCGCGACCAACCAAAAUCAUCUCAAAGACUUCUAGCCAUCUCCUAAUAGUAGCCCCGAAAUAACCUUCGAGGACCACUUCCACUUCCGGUUUGACUUCUAAAACCUCCCCUUGGGGGAAUGUUGGUACUGCGCAUGCUCCGAACUCUGGGCUGCCAACAGUAAACGCCGCGCAGACAUUCCUUUAUAGAGACUUUAUGCGGUUUCCAUAGGAGGUGUGGUCCGGCGGAGAACAUGGCCGCGCCCAGGGUUACUUCUUUGUGUGGGCCGCCCUCUGUUCGUAGAGCAUAGGAGUUGGCCCGCACCCAAGUGUCACGGUGUGAGCCUGGGACUGUCACAUAAAACGUGGGACUGUCGCCUUUGUCUGAAUAGGCCUCCGGGAGGAGGAAGUUACCGGAUAUGGGUUCUGGAACUUUACAUUAUACUUAGAAAAGCUAGUUGCCACGAGGGCUACAGCGAGCAGGGAAUCCAGCGAGGACAAACCACUAGGAGGGAUUCCUGGGAGAAACCACAGGGAAAUAAGGGAGAAAACAGACGGAACAGUCGGCUUUAUGAAGAAACAAAUGGAGAGGCGAGAAUGGGAAUCCGCCCCUGGGUAAAACCCCCAGCAACACGGAGACAGAAAUUGGGAAUAUGCCAAACCCCUACUAGUUCUUAUCGAUGGCCCAUAAAGGAUGACUUGGAAGCCAAGGAUUGUCUACAUUCAUUACAAUGUUGGUGCUUUUCUUUCUCUAGUAUGCAUUUUCUCAUGUCAAAUAAGACAUGAACCAUGAGUAUAAGUUUUCCCACAUUCCUCACAUUCAAAGAGUUUAGCUCUGGAAUGAAUUUUCUUAUGUCAAUAAGAUUUGAGUGUUAAUGGAAGGUUUUCUUACAAUUGUUACUUUCAUAGGGUCUUUCUCCACUUUGAACUCUCUGAUGUCCCUUAAAACUUGAGCUGUUUCUAAAAGCUUUUCCACACUUCUUACACUCAUAGUGUUUUUCUUUAGUAUGGGUUUUCUUAUGUCAAAUGACUGAAAGUUUUUCUACAUUCCUUGCAUUCAUAGAGUUUCUCUCCAGUAUGAACUAUCUGAAUUACUAAAGGCCUUUCCACAUUGCUUACAUUCAUAAGGUUUUUCUCCAGUGUAAAUUCUCUGAUGAUGAAUAAGAUUUGAGGAGUGCUGGAAAGCUUUACUACACUUAUUACACUCAUAGAGUUUUUUUCUCUACUAUGAAUUCUCUGAUAUCCAUUUAGCUUUCAGCAACAGCUAAAAUCCUUUCCACAAUACUUACAUUCAUACUGUUUUUCUUCUGUGUGACUUCUCCCAUGGUCAGUAAGCAAUGAGUGGUAAUUGAAGACUUUCCCACAGUCUAUGCAUUCAUGGGGUUUUUGCUUAGUAUGUUUAUUUGAUGUGGAGUAUAUGACAUCUGUUAACUAAGACUCUUCAUAUUUUCAUGGAUGAUUGUUACAGGGUUGAAAUAUUCUUCCUGAUUUCCCUGUUCUGUCUGAAAAUGGAAUAUUCAAAACUAUGACUUACCAGGUUUCUGUUCUUGCAACUAAAAGGCUCAGGGGUCACUCCAGGGAAACUGGGCUAAUUAGGCUGUGAAAAAUAACCCCACAAGAGACACAAAUACCUUUUUCUUUGGGGUUGCUGUGACGGCUCCUCUGACCUUAAGGGUCCGUAGGAAGAGAGAGAGCAUGCACUGACCCCUUUUAUUGAGGAGAAGCUAUUCAAAUGAGGCAAGGGGUCAGGUUUCAGGGGGCUGAGUCUAUCUUCAUAAUGUCCACUGUCAGCAGGUUGACUGACAUCUAGGUAGGCCACACCCAAGGGCACAGUAAGAGAAGGGGACACACACAAGGCACUUCCAUGGAACAUUCUAUCCUAAACAGGGCAAGGGGUUAUAUUACAAAGGAAUAGCUUUAGCUUCACCCAUGGGGCUGUAGGAAGCCAUGCCCAGGCACGAAGACACAGUCACUUGAACCCUAGAAGAGCAGGGCAGUCUAGCAGCAUGGGUACCUGAUGCCACAUCGCCCAGCAGGGGAGUUAACUCAGUCAUGUGCCAGUUGGUCUCCCACAAUAACUUACAAGUCUUUUCAUUAUAUUCCACUGAGAUGACUUUCAUUUUAUGAGCAUGAUCCUUUGAUGAGAACUCUUUCUGUUGGGGCUGGAACUUUACAUUAUAUGGGUUCUGGAACUUUACAGAAAAAUAAGGAGAAUGCAAACACAUUUUUUUCCAGUUCCUGGAAAAUGAAAUUUCUAAAAUAGGAAUAUGAACACAAUGCUUAUGAUAAACGAAUGGUUUGGAAAGCUCUACUAUAACCAUGAAAGGUGAGAGUGUACACAGAAGGUGACGUAGUGAACUUAGUGCUUCUAAAAUGUUGCUAUAGAUCAGAAUUAAUGAAAAACUUGUUAAAAAUACAGAUGGCACUUCAGAUAAAAGUAUCACUUCAGAUCAAAUGAUUAAAAAUACACAGGAGUGGACCUUGACUUUAAGAAAAAUCUCUAGGGUCUCUGAUGCUGUCUAAAGUUAGGUUGGCUUCCUUAUGGAAAGGCAUUUUAGUGUGGUUUAUGUAUGAUAUUAAAUAAAGAAUAUUUAACACUUAAAAAAAUAAAAAUAUAAAGUUAGGUUGGUCUUUGCACUGAGAAUAAUUUUUGAAUAAAUUAUCAUUGACUAAAGGGUUGGGUCACCUAGCAACAUGAUCCUACCUUUUACUGAACCCAUGCUUUACAGGUUCACUUAAUUCCAUUCCAAGAGUAGAUGACAUGCUUCUCUACAUCAGAGAGAUUACCAUUGCCAUUCUAUCACAUAUUGUCUAUCUGUGUAUGGCAGGCUCAGUAGCAUAAUUUGUAAUAUAAUACAAACGGCACUUAAAAAAUUCCUGCUUUCAAACAGUGUCAGAUGACACCCACUCUUAUUCUACUGCCCAGAUGGCUAAUCAUUACCUUUGAUUUUUUUCCUCCUUGCCUAUUUAUUUUCUCAUACUCUGUACUAGGCUGAAAGUUUUCUAUUGGAAGAUACUAUGUCUGCUUAAAUCACUAUUGUUUUAAUCAGCUUCUAACAAAAUAUUAUCAUAAAAAAGUGUUCAAGAGCUGGGGUUGUGGCUCAGAAGUACAGUGCAAGGUCAUGGGUUUUAUCCUCAGUAUCACAUAAAAAUAAGUAAAUAAAAUAAAGGUAUUGUGUCCAAUUACGACUAAAA
Molecule: long non-coding RNA, 3839 nt
Organism: Ictidomys tridecemlineatus (thirteen-lined ground squirrel)
Lineage: Eukaryota; Metazoa; Chordata; Mammalia; Rodentia; Sciuridae
Source: Ensembl